RNAcentral lists this long non-coding RNA (1151 nucleotides) under Capsella rubella. RNAcentral's name for it is "long non-coding RNA (CRUB_LNC004981)". Lineage: Eukaryota; Viridiplantae; Streptophyta; Magnoliopsida; Brassicales; Brassicaceae. The record is from RNAcentral.
UGUUUUUCAAUGUGUGUUUGUAUUGAUAAGGUAAAAGCAUUCUACCUUUCUAUGUUGUCUUCUGGCUGUUGCAUAUCUUAAGGCACCACCAAACACUGCUUUUCAAUUGUGAAAAAUUUACUGAGCAGAUUGAACUAGAAGAAUUAUAGAAAAAUCCAUAUAAUUUAGUGAUUCAUACAAUCUUAGUCCUCUGAAUUGGGACAAUCCUGUACUUCAACUAAUAGGCCUACCUUUUUAUUGCAUCUGACUAGCUUUUCAGAAACAUCUUUCAUAAUCACAGUAGAUUUUGACUGAGAACAAUAAGUUGAAACUAAUCGUUUUAUACUUUACUUAAUGUUUUAGGAAUAUUUUGUUUCGAUUCUAAUCCUUGGGAAGCUUGUCUCCGCUUCAACGAGGUAUUUCUUUAUUUCUAGUUUUUUUUUGUUUAUCUUUAAAACCCAAAAAUGAUCUAAUACACAAAAAUACACAAAAACACAAAAAACAUUAAAACACAAAAAUACACAAAGUUAGAGCUAAUACACAAAUACACAAAUACACAAAUACAUAAAAUACACAAAAAGUUAAAACUUAGAGCUAAUACGCAAAAAAUACACAAAUACACAAAUACACACAAAUAAACCAAAAACACAAAAAAACACAAAAAACGAAAAAACACAAAAAUACAUAAAAUACACAAAAAGUUAAAACUUAGAGCUAAUACGCAAAGUCGGGGAUCAUAAAAAGGGACCAAAAGAACUUAGAACUAAUACGCAAAGUCGGGGAUCAUAAAAAGGGACCGAAAGAACUUAGAGCUAAUACGCAAAGUCGGGGAUCAUAAAAAUGGACCGAAAGAACUUAGAGCUAAUACGCAAAAUCGGGGAUCAUAAAAAGGGACCGAAAGAACUUAGAGCUAAUACCCAAAGUCGGGGAUCAUAAAAAAGGACCGAAAGAACUUAGAGCUAAUACGCAAAGUCGGGGAUCAUAAAAACGGACCGAAAGAACUUAGAGCUAGUACGCAAAGCCGGGGAUCAUAAAAACGGACCGAAAGAACUUAGAGCUGAUACGCAAAGUCGGGGAUCAUAAAAACGGACCGAAAGAACUUAGAUCUAAUACGCAAAGUCGGGGAUCAUAAAAACGGACCAAAAGAAAUUAGAGCUAAUACGCAAAGUCNN